RNAcentral lists this ribosomal RNA (414 nucleotides) under uncultured microorganism. RNAcentral's name for it is "bacterial SSU rRNA". It matches the Rfam family "Archaeal small subunit ribosomal RNA", at positions 459 to 872 of the family's 1478-position model. The record is from RNAcentral.
CAGCCGCCGCGGUAAUACCGGCGGCCCGAGUGGUGGCCGCUAUUAUUGGGCUUAAAGCGUCCGUAGCCGGGUUGGGAAGUCCUCCGGGAAAUCUGGCCGCUUAACGGUCAGAAUGCCGGAGGAUACUCCCAGCCUAGGGAGCGGGAGAGGCCGAGGGUAUUCCCGGAGUAGGGGUGAAAUCCUAUAAUCCCGGGAGGACCACCUGUGGCGAAGGCGCUCGGCUGGAACGCGUCCGACGGUGAGGGACGAAGGCCAGGGGAGCAAACCGGAUUAGAUACCCGGGUAGUCCUGGCUGUAAACGAUGCGGACUUUGUGUCGGACAAGCUAUGAGCUUGUCCGGUGCCGGAGGGAAACCGUUAAGUCCGCCGCCUGGGGAGUACGGCCGCAAGGCUGAAACUUAAAGGAAUUGGCGGG